GGGGAGACCAGGUAGGGCGCAUGCACGGCCGCUGAAAUGGGUUUAACUUCGACCUUCCCUCCUUUCCAGUUUUUCAGCAAGUAUGGGUGAUACUAGCUACCCUCUGUUAAGGGGCGAAGACUGUGCAACGAGGGGAAUCUGUUUGGUUCAGGAUGUUAGAGCAGGCAAGGAAAUAUUCCUUAUGUUUAAUUUUUAUCCGUUCGUGGGCCCUAGAGCUUGCUUUCAAUUUGGCAAAAUGGAUUUUUAUAGUGGUAGAACUAGCAAAGUUAUAGACGUUGUGUUUCAGUGUGCUGUGUGUUAGAAACUUCAGUGAGCUGUGUGUUAGGCCGGGUGCGGUGGCUCACGCCUGUAAUCCCAGCACUUUGGGAGACUGAGGCAGGCGGAUCGUAAGGUCAGGAGUUCGAGAGCAGCCUGGCCAACGUGGUGAAACCCCGUCUCUACUAAAAAUGCAAAAACUAGCGGAGUGUGGUGGCACACCUGUAAUCCCAACUACUAGGGAGGCUGAGUCGGGAGAAUCACUUGAACCCGGGAGUUGGAGGUUGCAGUGAGCUGAGAUCACACCACUGCACUCCAGCCUGGGUAACAGAGCAAGACUCCGUCUCGGGAAAACAAAACAAAACUAUUCACCUUUUAAAACUUCUGAAGGAUACUGUGUGCCAUCACUACAGGCAUACUUCAUUAUUGCACUUCGCUUUGCUGCCACGAGUAGAUACAGCCUUUUUACAAAUGGAAGGUUUUUGGCAAAUCCGCCAGAGGAAGUCUCUUGGUGCCGGUUUUUCCAGCAGCAUACACUUUGUGUCACAUAUGAAAUUGCCACAACCACUCCAACCUUCAGCAACCAUCAUCCUGAUCAGUCAGCAGACAUCAACACCGAGGCAAGACCUUCCACCAGCAAAAAGAUUAUGAUUUUCCAAAGGCCCAGAUGGUUGUUAGCAUUUUCAGCAAUAAAGUAUUUUAAAUAAGGCAUUAAAGACUAGAACAUCCAAAAACAAUGGCAUAUAUAAGGAAAAUUAGAAAGUAACUAUGCACGCCAAGGAAAAGACUAGGAUCAGAAAAACCUGAGAAGACCUCAAGUGUACACUUCAUGUUGAACCUUGGCACAGAGAGAGCCUACAAUUAAACAAACAAAAAACCUAGGGAAGGGGUUUGAUUUCCAGAGUUACCACAUCUCCUGCUUACCUUGAUCUCUAUCUUUGUGAACCCCAUCUCCAGCCAGCAGCCUCAACCAAGGUUAAUAUGUUGGAUUUAGUGGCACAUGUAUAUGAAGAAAAGGAAGAUGGUUUUAUAAAAAAUAACAUUUGAAAACAAGUGCCAUUGGAUUCAGACGUCCAGUUUUCAACAAAAAAUCACAAGGCAUACAAAGAAACAGGAAAAUUAGGCUCAUUCAAAGGGAAAAAAUAUUGGUAAAUCUCAGAGUAGGGGGGAAAGAGAAAAAGUAAAUAAAAGAUAUCAACAGGAACUAUUUCUGAAAAAUAUCUGAUGGUAGAUCUACUAGACAAAGAGUUUAAAACAACUACCUUAAGGAUGCUCAAAGAAGUAAAGGAGAAUGUGGAGAAAGUUGACGAAACCGUGUAUUUACAAAAUGGAAAUAACAAUAAAGAGACAGAAAAUCAAAAAGAAGACAAAAAGAAAUUCUGAAAGAGAAAAAAUACAGUAACUGAAAUGAAAAAAUUACUAGAAGGAUUCAGAGGCAGUUUUGAACAGACAGAAGAAUGAGCAAACUUGAAGAUAAUAGAAAUUACUAAGUCUAAGGAACCAAAAGAAAAAAAAAAUAGUAAAAGCAAACAAAUUCUACGGGACCUGUUGGAACACCAUCAAGUGGACCAAUAUACAAAUCGUGGGAGUUUUAAAAGGAGAAGAGAGACAGAAAGGACAGAAAGAAUAUUUGAAGAAAUAAUGGCUGAAAAAUUCUCGAAUUUGAUGAAAGACAUUAAUAUAAACAUCCAGGAAGCUCAAUGAACUCCAGCACUCAAGAACCAGCCAGACAGCAAAAGCCAAAAUUGACAAAUGGGAUCUAAUUAAACUAAAGAGCUUCUGCACAGCAAAAGAAACUACCAUCAGAGUGAACAGGCAACCUACAGAAUGGGAGAAAAUUUUU
Macaca mulatta (Rhesus monkey) is the source of this 2098-nucleotide non-coding RNA. The record is from RefSeq and is a predicted model, not a curated record. Lineage: Eukaryota; Metazoa; Chordata; Mammalia; Primates; Cercopithecidae.